UAAUUAUAAGAAUCUCAAAACAGAAAAGUAAUUUUUUUAAAUUACUUUUUUCAUAAUAUUUAAAAUAGUAUUUUUUAUUUAAAGUGAUUUUAGAUCAACUUUUUAAUCAUAAACACAACUAGAAACGGCAUAAUCUCACUAGAAAAAAGAAAAAAAAAUCCUCAUAAAAGAAAUUAUAUAACAGUAUUAGAAACCCAUAUAUAUAAUAUCUGAAAGUUGAAUGAGCAUGAAAGCCUAGAGCUCAAUCUUGAUGAAGACUUUGGUAGCCCUCUACCUAUCUCCUUCGUGCUUCACAAGACUUUGAUUUCUUCUACUUUGCUCAACAGUGGCCAAGUUCAUACUGUGAUACAAAGCAAAGUUGCUGCUACCCAGCCACUCGAAAACCUGGUGCUGAUUUUGGCAUGCACGGGCCUUGGCCUAAUAAUUACAAGGAUGGGAAUUACCCUUUAAAUUGUGAUACCGGCAAUUCCUUCAAUCAAAAUAAGGUAAUUCCCUAUUAUAUUAUCAUAUAUAUAUGUAUAUUGAACUCUAUUGAGUGUAGUGAUUCUACAUGAUGAACUAUUUACAGUGCAUAACUUUUUUGUUAAAAAAUUUUUAUGUUUCAUUAU
Molecule: unclassified non-coding RNA, 608 nt
Filed under: Hevea brasiliensis (rubber tree)
Lineage: Eukaryota; Viridiplantae; Streptophyta; Magnoliopsida; Malpighiales; Euphorbiaceae
Source: RNAcentral